This is a long non-coding RNA of Camelus dromedarius (Arabian camel), 962 nucleotides long. RefSeq lists it as uncharacterized. The record is from RefSeq and is a predicted model, not a curated record. The transcript has 3 exons. Lineage: Eukaryota; Metazoa; Chordata; Mammalia; Artiodactyla; Camelidae.
CGGACGGGGGAUCGGGGCGCGGGGCCUGCCUCUCCCCGGGACCCGGGCUGAGCUGGCCGCGCCUCGUCUCUUGCUCUCUCUCUCUCUCUCUCUGGCCUCUCCCCGAGCUCGGCGCCUUUCUCUGAGCGAGGGUGAGCCGGCGCCUGCAUCACCGUGACAUCACCUCCAUUCAGGCGCUUAUCGGGCGCCCGCAGCGCUCCAGUUACACAGGUCAGCGCUCUUCAGUGUGGAAAGCAACUACACAGGGAAGCCCCUCGGGGCCAUCUUGGUGGCUGGUGGUCACAAGGAGGAACAUACAGCACUUGGGAGGGCUGUUAUCUGUCCCCUUCCACCACAUGAGGACACAGCCAGAAAGCAACUGCUAUGAAGCAGGAGGAGGACAUGACCAUGCUGGUGCCUUGAUCUUGGCCUUCCCAGCCUUCAGAACUGCUGGAAUCCAGGCGUUGUGCUGAAUUCCCUCCUCUGACCACCAAGCCAUGGGUUCUGUCCACCCAGAAGAAAGAACACCUUUGCCUUCACAUACAGUAUAUAGCCGCUCUGCCUCCUUUACGAUACUGUCUUUUCCUAAUUGGUCUUUCUAGAGGGGGUACCCCACCUUUUUCCCCUACAAAGCUACCUUCCAUUUGCCCAAGAUCUUGCUUGAAGGAGACCCCCGUUUUGAGGGGGAGGGUUAAUUAGGUUUGUUUGUUUGAUUAUUAUUUUUUAAUGGAGAUAGUGGGGAUUGAACCCAGGACAACGUGCAUGCUAAGCACGUGCUCUACCACUGAGCUAUACCCCCCCAGGACCCCACCACCACAUUUAAUAUUUGCUAAAAGUCACUUUAGGCUGUAAAACUGUAGAAUGUGCACGAAGUCACAGAGAUAGCCCUGCAGUAAGUCAGCUUCAACCCUGCAGAUGAGGAUUAAGGUUCUUAGAGAGUGGCAGUGGGGCAGAUGGAGCGUACCUGGUUCCCUGAAGGGAAG